AUUAAGACGAUAGUAAGGUUACUCAAAGUACUAGGAGUUCGAUAUACUCCUAUUCCCGGUCUUCAGGCACAAUCUCUUUACCCUUGUUAGAGGGCUCACCAUCUAUACAUCAUACGUGACACGAAUUUCAAUAAAUUGUGUCAAUUUAUCAUGAACUAUUUCAGGCUUUAUAAAUCUAUAAGAAUGCACGAAAUGUGAUGCAAAAUGUCUGAAUAGCCGUUUAAAUACGAUAUUCGACCUAAUUCGCACUAUUCUCGAUGUCAUUGGCUAAAACCUCCAAUUUAACUCCAAAUCGAUUUCUUUCACUUCCUACACUCCAAUGAUACUUAAAAUAGCUCAAUGACUGUGAAUAUGAUUCAAUUUAUCAGUCCAAACCAUAAAUUGCACAUGUCUAUACAUUAGGUAAAAAUUCAGAUUUUCAUGCCAAAAUUUCCCAUUAAAUUUCUAGCCUCACCAAUCAUUAAAUACCACCAAAAUAUCAAGAAAUAUCAUCAAUUUCAGCCUCAAUAUCCUCCCUAGAAAAUUCGGCCUCUUGUGGGUUUGUGAAGAACAAGGUGAUUCCUUGCUAGAUUUUCAUACUUUCCAUUACCAAACAAUCAAAAACAUUUAAUUAGCUUGAAAUCUAGCAAAAUCAAUACUCAAAACCUCUCCUCUCAAAUUCGGCCAGCAUGGGUUCAUCAUGCAAACUUGAGCUCUAAGCAUGGAAAAUGAAAAAGAAAGCAUGGGUAGUGUAAAUCACAAGAUAAAAUCACAAAAUCUUACCUUUAUUAGCUUAAUCCCUUGAAAUCCCACACUUUUUCUUCAAUUUUCCCACCUAGGGUUUGUGUUCUUUCCUUUCCUCUUCACUUCAUGCUUUGGC
Molecule: long non-coding RNA, 859 nt
Filed under: Theobroma cacao (cacao)
Lineage: Eukaryota; Viridiplantae; Streptophyta; Magnoliopsida; Malvales; Malvaceae
Description: long non-coding RNA (TCAC_LNC003132)
Source: RNAcentral